RNAcentral lists this transfer RNA (65 nucleotides) under Physconelloides eurysema. Its description in RNAcentral is "tRNA-His". The record is from RNAcentral. Lineage: Eukaryota; Metazoa; Arthropoda; Insecta; Psocodea; Philopteridae.
AUACUUGUAGUUUAAGGAAAAUUCUGAAUUGUGGAGUCAGAGAUAAAAUUAUUUUUUCAAGUAUU